UUCGUUUCGCAGCGUAUUGCUUUGGCAGUACGCUGGCUUCUUAGAGGGACUAUCGGCUCAAGCCGAUGGAAGUUUGAGGAAUAACAAGUCUGUGAUGCCCUUAGAUGUUCUGGGCCGCACGCCCGCUACACUGACGGAGCCAGCGAGUACUUCCUUGUCCGAAAGGUCCGGGUAAUCUUGUUAAACUCCGUCGUGCUGGGGAUAGAGCAUUGCAAUUAUUGCUCUUCAACGAGGAAUCCCUAGUAAGCGCAAGUCAUCAGCUUGCGUUGAUUACGUCCCUGCCCUUUGUACACACCGCCCGUCGCUACUACCGAUUGAAUGGCU
RNAcentral lists this ribosomal RNA (324 nucleotides) under uncultured fungus. RNAcentral describes it as "SSU rRNA". It matches the Rfam family "Eukaryotic small subunit ribosomal RNA", at positions 1371 to 1698 of the family's 1831-position model. The record is from RNAcentral. Lineage: Eukaryota; Fungi.